GGAUUAGAUACCCUGGUAGUCCACGCCGUAAACGAUGUCUACUAGCCGUUGGGGGGCUUGUCCCUUUAGUGGCGCAGCUAACGCGAUAAGUAGACCGCCUGGGGAGUACGGUCGCAAGAUUAAAACUCAAAGGAAUUGACGGGGGCCCGCACAAGCGGUGGAGCAUGUGGUUUAAUUCGAUGCAACGCGAAGAACCUUACCAGGUCUUGACAUCCUGAGAACUUACUAGAGAUAGUUUGGUGCCUUCGGGAACUCAGUGACAGGUGCUGCAUGGCUGUCGUCAGCUCGUGUUG
Molecule: ribosomal RNA, 293 nt
Filed under: uncultured bacterium
Lineage: Bacteria
Description: partial 16S ribosomal RNA
Rfam family: Bacterial small subunit ribosomal RNA
Source: RNAcentral